GAACGCUGGCGGCGUGCUUAACACAUGCAAGUCGAACGAUGAAGCCCAGCUUGCUGGGUGGAUUAGUGGCGAACGGGUGAGUAACACGUGAGUAACCUGCCCUUAACUCUGGGAUAAGCCUGGGAAACUGGGUCUAAUACCGGAUAGGAGCGCCUACCGCAUGGUGGGUGUUGGAAAGAUUUAUCGGUUUUGGAUGGACUCGCGGCCUAUCAGCUUGUCGGUGAGGUAAUGGCUCACCAAGGCGACGACGGGUAGCCGGCCUGAGAGGGUGACCGGCCACACUGGGACUGAGACACGGCCCAGACUCCUACGGGAGGCAGCAGUGGGGAAUAUUGCACAAUGGGCGAAAGCCUGAUGCAGCGACGCCGCGUGAGGGAUGACGGCCUUCGGGUUGUAAACCUCUUUCAGUAGGGAAGAAGCGAAAGUGACGGUACCUGCAGAAGAAGCACCGGCUAACUACGUG
Molecule: ribosomal RNA, 463 nt
Filed under: uncultured bacterium
Lineage: Bacteria
Description: partial 16S ribosomal RNA
Rfam family: Bacterial small subunit ribosomal RNA
Source: RNAcentral